AGUCAGUAUGGCCCUUACACCCGGGGCUGCACACGUGCUACAAUGGCCGGUACAAAGGGCAGCGACAUAGUGAUAUGGAGCGAAUCCCCAAAACCGGUCUCAGUACGGAUUGGAGUCUGCAACUCGACUCCAUGAAGAUGGAAUCGCUAGUAAAUGGGCAUCAGCUACGGCUCAUUGAAUACGUUCCCGGGCCUUGUACACACCGCCCGUCACAUCAUGGGAGCUGAGUUCACCCGAAGUCGUUGCGCCAACCUGCUUGCAGGAGGCAGACGCCGAAGGUGGGCUUAGUGACUGGGAUGAAGUCGUAACAAGGUAGCCGUUGGGGAACCAGCGGCUGGAUCACCUCCUUU
This 350-nucleotide non-coding RNA is filed under the name Lentisphaera araneosa HTCC2155. RNAcentral's name for it is "Bacterial small subunit ribosomal RNA". It matches the Rfam family "Bacterial small subunit ribosomal RNA", at positions 1188 to 1533 of the family's 1533-position model. The record is from Rfam by way of RNAcentral. Lineage: Bacteria; Pseudomonadati; Lentisphaerota; Lentisphaeria; Lentisphaerales; Lentisphaeraceae.